AGGAGAGUAGCAUAACGGUAGUGCAUCGGUCUCCAAAACCGACGGUUGCAGGUUCGAAUCCUGUCUCUCCUG
This 72-nucleotide transfer RNA is filed under the name Armatimonadota bacterium. RNAcentral's name for it is "Armatimonadetes bacterium (soil metagenome) tRNA-Trp". It matches the Rfam family "tRNA". Rfam says of the family: Transfer RNA (tRNA) molecules are approximately 80 nucleotides in length. Their secondary structure includes four short double-helical elements and three loops (D, anti-codon, and T loops). The record is from RNAcentral. RNAcentral also lists the same sequence under 3 other names. Lineage: Bacteria; Bacillati; Armatimonadota.